UUUGGCAUAGUAGGCCCUACACCUAUUUCUGUUUCCUGUGUUCAUAGAGAACACAGGAAACAGAAAUAGGUGUAGGGCCUACUAUGCCAAA
RNAcentral lists this microRNA precursor (91 nucleotides) under Podarcis lilfordi (Lilford's wall lizard). Lineage: Eukaryota; Metazoa; Chordata; Lepidosauria; Squamata; Lacertidae. The record is from RNAcentral.